UACGGAGGGAGCUAGCGUUGUUCGGAAUUACUGGGCGUAAAGCGCACGUAGGCGGCUUUGUAAGUUAGAGGUGAAAGCCCGGGGCUCAGCUCCGGAACUGCCUUUAAGACUGCAUCGCUUGAAUCCAGGAGAGGUGAGUGGAAUUCCGAGUGUAGAGGUGAAAUUCGUAGAUAUUCGGAAGAACACCAGUGGCGAAGGCGGCUCACUGGACUGGUAUUGACGCUGAGGCGCGAAAGCGUGGGGAGCGAACAGG
Molecule: ribosomal RNA, 253 nt
Filed under: uncultured bacterium
Lineage: Bacteria
Description: partial 16S ribosomal RNA
Rfam family: Bacterial small subunit ribosomal RNA
Source: RNAcentral